UACGUAGGGUGCGAGCGUUAAUCGGAAUCACUGGGCGUAAAGAGCGCGUAGGCGGUCCGGUAAGUCGGUUGUGAAAACUGGGGGCUCAACCCUCAGAGGCCGACCGAUACUGUCGGGCUAGAGUCCGGAAGAGGCGAGUGGAAUUCCUGGUGUAGCGGUGAAAUGCGCAGAUAUCAGGAGGAACACCAAUGGCGAAGGCAGCUCGCUGGGACGGCACUGACGCUGAGGCGCGAAAGCGUGGGGAGCAAACAGG
This 253-nucleotide ribosomal RNA is filed under the name uncultured bacterium. RNAcentral's name for it is "partial 16S ribosomal RNA". It matches the Rfam family "Bacterial small subunit ribosomal RNA", at positions 524 to 776 of the family's 1533-position model. The record is from RNAcentral.